This 73-nucleotide transfer RNA is filed under the name Sphaerodactylus townsendi. RNAcentral's name for it is "tRNA-Thr". Lineage: Eukaryota; Metazoa; Chordata; Lepidosauria; Squamata; Sphaerodactylidae. The record is from RNAcentral.
GGCUGCAGCUUAUUGGUAGAGCAUCUGCCUUGUACACAGAAGGUCCCAGGUUCAAUUCCAGCAUGUAUAGUUA